Molecule: ribosomal RNA, 468 nt
Filed under: uncultured bacterium
Lineage: Bacteria
Description: bacterial SSU rRNA
Rfam family: Bacterial small subunit ribosomal RNA
Source: RNAcentral
GAUGAACGCUGGCGGCGUGCUUAACACAUGCAAGUCGAACGGACUUACAUUGAAGCCUAGCGAUAUGUAAGUUAGUGGCGGACGGGUGAGUAACGCGUGGGUAACCUGCCGUAUACAGGGGGAUAACAGUUAGAAAUAGCUGCUAAUACCGCAUAAGCGCACAGCUUCGCAUGAAGCGGUGUGAAAAACUCCGGUGGUAUACGAUGGACCCGCGUCUGAUUAGCUAGUUGGUGAGGUAACGGCCCACCAAGGCGACGAUCAGUAGCCGGCCUGAGAGGGUGAACGGCCACAUUGGGACUGAGACACGGCCCAAACUCCUACGGGAGGCAGCAGUGGGGAAUAUUGCACAAUGGGGGGAAACCCUGAUGCAGCGACGCCGCGUGAGUGAAGAAGUAUUUCGGUAUGUAAAGCUCUAUCAGCAGGGAAGAAAAUGACGGUACCUGACUAAGAGCCCCGGCUAACUACGUG